AACGAACGCUGGCGGCGUGCUUAACACAUGCAAGUCGAACGGAAAGGCCCUGCUUUGGUGGGGUGCUCGAGGGGCGAACGGGUGAGUAACACGUGAGUAACCUGCCCUUGACUUUGGGAUAACUUAAGGAAACUGGGGCUAAUACCGGAUAGGAGCUCCUGCUGCAUGGUGGGGGUUGGAAAGUUUCGGCGGUUGGGGAUGGACACGCGGCUUAUGAGCUUGAUGGAGGGGUAGUGUCUUACCAAGGCUUUGACGGGUAGCAGGGCUGGGAGGGUGACCGGCCACAUUGGGACUGAGAUGCGGCCCAGACUCCUAUGGGAGGCGGCAGUGGGGAAUAUUGCACAAUGGGCGGAGGGCUGGUGUGACCAAGCCGCGUGGGGGAAGACGGCCUUCGGUUUGUGUACCACUUUCGCCUGUCACGAAGCGAGAGUGACGGUAAUGGGUAAAUAAGCACCGGCUAACUACGUG
RNAcentral lists this ribosomal RNA (468 nucleotides) under uncultured bacterium. RNAcentral's name for it is "partial 16S ribosomal RNA". It matches the Rfam family "Bacterial small subunit ribosomal RNA", at positions 28 to 507 of the family's 1533-position model. The record is from RNAcentral.